Long non-coding RNA from Hyaena hyaena (striped hyena), 586 nucleotides. RefSeq lists it as uncharacterized. Lineage: Eukaryota; Metazoa; Chordata; Mammalia; Carnivora; Hyaenidae. The transcript has 5 exons. The record is from RefSeq and is a predicted model, not a curated record.
AGAGAGCUUGUUUCGUCUCUCUGCUCUCCCACCAUAUGAGGAGACAAGAAGAUGGUGAUCAACAAACCAGGAAAAAUGCUCUUAUCAGAGAGCACAUCUGCUGGCACCUUGAUCUUAGAAUUCUCAGCCUUCAGAACUGUAGGGAAAGUUUUUUCUAUUGUUUAAGCCACUCACACUAUCCUGUAAUAACAGCUUGAACUAAGGCACCACCUGAAAACUCUAAAAAUAACGUAGAUGGCAUUGAUCAGUGUACCAGCCUGGACUUCUUUCUCCUGGGAGGAGUGACAAAUCUGAUUGGUGAGUUAGGAACAGACAAUUGGUUUCCCUAGCUACAGGCCAUUUUGAUAGCCAUGGUAGCCCAUAACUGAAAACGUCGCAAGAGAGCACAGAAACUAUGUACCUUGAUCAUGGUAUCUCCCCUGCCAGACUUCAUGACUUGUGCAAAACUGAACAUGACUGAGGCUAAUCAAGUCUGAAGUAAAGAACAUGCCUUAUAGACCUGGUUAGAGCUUCUAGCAUCAUACUCAGAGGGAGCGUUGGUGACUCAGUUGGUUGAGCAUCCAACUCUUGAUUUUGGCUCAUGUCA